Long non-coding RNA from Humulus lupulus (European hop), 990 nucleotides. RefSeq lists it as uncharacterized. The transcript has 6 exons. Lineage: Eukaryota; Viridiplantae; Streptophyta; Magnoliopsida; Rosales; Cannabaceae. The record is from RefSeq and is a predicted model, not a curated record.
UGGUCUUCUUAGGAUAUUUGUUGGUGGUGUGGAUACCUCUGCAACUGAGACAAAAGGAACAAUUCUAAUUCAUAGUGCUAACCAGCUAGAAAAUUAUGCGAAAACUGAAGAAGCUAAAGUUGAGGAGCUUAUAAAGGCAGUUGCUGAUUCCGGCGCCAAAGUAAUUGUUAGUGGAGCAGCAGUUGGGGAGAUGGCACUUCAUUUCUUUAAAGCUUAGCAAGCCAAACCCAGAUGACCUGGGACAUGUUGAUUCAGUUUCAGUAGAAGAAAUUGGUGGUGCUAGGGUACAUAAAUAUUUUGUGGAUCAGGAAAUGAUAGCAAUUGCAAUAUAAGUAUCCGGGUGUGACUCAAACUUCAGACUUUGUGUGAGCAAACCAAAGGCUGAUUGUUUGAGCUACCACCCUUGGGUAUUUUGUUCUUGUUGUUUUUAUUAUUUAUUUUUCCUUUUAAUCUCAUUAACAUUUCCCAUAAUGUAAAUAUAGGUCACUGUUGUGAAGAAUGAAGAAGGUGGGAACUCUGUAACCACUGUUUUAUUGCGAGGAACCACAUAUAGCAUUUUAGAUGACAUUGAAAGAGCAGUUGAUGAUGGAGUAAAUACUUACAAGGCUAUGUGCAGGGAUAGCCGAAUGGUUCUUGGUGCAGCUGCUACUGAAAUUGAAUUAGCUAAGAGAGUGAAAGAGUAUUCAUUUAAAGAAACAGGGUCAGUACGUCAGAGCUGUCUUUCUACAUUUAUGCUUCGUACUUCCUAGAAAUUUCAUGAUCUUCCUAUGCAUGCAGGUAUAUUGAGAUGAUUUCUUUGGAGCAAUUCUUGACAACACUUGUAGUUGAGGCCUUUAGAAUGGAAGAAUGUAUUUCACUAAUUUUUGUAUACAUUUCUUGUGUUGUAUUUAGUGAUAAAGGAAUCUGAAUUGGGCAUAAAUUAUGUUGUAAUAUGAUUUCUUAAGCCUAGACUAGUAGACUAAAUAUUGUAAUUACAUUUUGAGUAAUUAA